UACGAAGGGUGCAAACGUUGCUCGGAAUUAUUGGGCGUAAAGCGCACGUAGGCGGCUUAGCAAGUCGGAAGUGAAAUCCCUCGGCUCAACCAAGGAAGUGCUUUCGAAACUGCUGAGCUUGAGUACUAAAGAGGAUCGCGGAAUUCCCGGUGUAGAGGUGAAAUUCGUAGAUAUCGGGAGGAACACCGGUGGCGAAGGCGGCGACCUGGGUCGAUACUGACGCUGAGGUGCGAAAGCGUGGGGAGCAAACAGG
RNAcentral lists this ribosomal RNA (253 nucleotides) under uncultured bacterium. Its description in RNAcentral is "partial 16S ribosomal RNA". It matches the Rfam family "Bacterial small subunit ribosomal RNA", at positions 524 to 776 of the family's 1533-position model. The record is from RNAcentral.